GAUCAUUAACGAAUCUUCAAAGUCGGCCCUUCCAGUGCUGGUGGUCACACAUGUGCACGUUAGGGUCGCAAAUCCACACACCUGUGCAUACAUGACUCUGAGAGCCUUACCCUGGUUUGGGAGUCUGACUCUGGUCAGACUGGCACUCGAGUAUUUUUCACACACUCUGAAUGUAAAGGAAUGUACAUCUUGCAUAACAUGCAAAACAAAACAACUUUCGACAACGGAUCUCUUGGCUCUCGCAUCGAUGAAGAACGCAGCGAAAUGCGAUAAGUAAUGUGAAUUGCAGAAUUCAGUGAAUCAUCGAAUCUUUGAACGCACCUUGCACCCUUUGGUAUUCCGAAGGGUACACCCGUUUGAGUGUCAUUGUAAUCUCACCAUCCAACUCUUUGUUGGCAUGUCGUGGAUUUGGAUGUUGCCGUGUUGCGAUGGCUCAUCUGAAAUGGCUGAGUACAUCCUGGAUUGUGAUGUGUUCGGUGUGAUAAACUUUCACCGUCUCUGACCCCAGCGGUCACACUCACUUGACCGAGGCUCUGUGCUUCCAACCGUCUUGAUCGGACAAUUUUGACAAUUUGACCUCAAAUCGGGUGGGACUACCCGCUGAACUUAAGCAUAUCAAUAAGCGGAGGAAAAGAAACUAACANGGAUUNCCCUAGUAACGGCAAGUGAAGAGGGAAAAGCUCAAAUUUUGAAUCUGGUGCCCUCGGCUCCAGAGUUGUAAUCUAGAGAAGUGUUUUCUGUGUCGGACCAUGCACAAGUCCCCUGGAAUGGGGUGUCAUAGAGGGUGAGAAUCCCGUACAUGGCACGGACCCCGAUGCUCUGUGAUACACUCUCAACGAGUCGAGUUGUUUGGGAAUGCAGCUCAAAAUGGGUGGUGAAUUCCAUCUAAAGCUAAAUAUUGGCGAGAGACCGAUAGCGAACAAGUACCGUGAGGGAAAGAUGAAAAGCACUUUGGAAAGAGAGUGAAACAGUACGUGAAAUUGUUGAAAGGGAAGCGUUUGAAGUCAGUCGUGUCAUUUGGAAUUCAACCUGGCUUUUGCCUGGUGUACUUUCCAUCUGACAGGUCAGCAUCAGUUUCGGUCGAGGGAAAAAGGUGUGGGGAAUGUGGCUGUCUUCGGGCAGUGUUAUAGCCCCACAUUGUAUACCUCGACUGGGACUGAGGAGUGCAGCGCGCCUAUUGGCCGGGGGUUCGCGCCCCUCGGUACGCGCUA
Molecule: ribosomal RNA, 1211 nt
Filed under: uncultured fungus
Lineage: Eukaryota; Fungi
Description: eukaryotic LSU rRNA
Rfam family: Eukaryotic large subunit ribosomal RNA (bases 574-1211)
Source: RNAcentral